AUUAAUAUACUAAAGGUGGAACUUCUUGUAGGAAAUAGCCGCGUUAAGGCUGCAUGGUGGAAGGACACAGUUUACGAGUUAUCGAUGAGACAGGAUAGCCCGUUCGACGGGCAUUUGCUGGCCGAGAGACAGCUGCCUUGUACGCGUGUACGUGUGACAUGUGAACGCGUGACACGCGUCCACGUUUCGCCUUCUCGUUUCGUUUCGUUCCGUGCGAAAGGACCUAAGAAAAGGCUCCAGUCGGAUGUAGUAGGUGGUGUACGCGGAGCCUGCGGCAGAUGUUGCCCUCCAUCACGGAAUGUUGCAGUGUUCUCUUUCGCUUCUCCGGAUCCUGCGCGCAUUGCGGAAUAUCGGCCGGUCCCCGAUCGUUGCCCGAAGAAAUGACACCAAUUUGAAUGAUGGGACCCACGGUGGACCACCGCGAACGAGAAAAACGCUGCGCGACUCUGGUCUAGAUGGUCCGCGAUUUCCUCGGAGGAUUCGACGCCUAAUAUAAAACGUAUCGCCGAGGGAACUGAACGGAACGCGGAGCAGCCGGCGAUUUUUUCCAUUUCCAUUCGAUUACGAUAGAAUCCUUUACGUAACGAAACGGUUGCACCGUUGCCGAGCGCGAUUGCGUCAGUGAUUAGCGAGGUGCGAAGUACGAGGCGCAAGGUACAAGGCGCAUUUUCGGAUUCGCCCGCAACAUCUCUGCAACACCUCUGCAAACACCUCUGCAACACCUUUGCAAGAACCGGGGAACGCCUCUGCAACCGGCUCCGGAACGCACCUAUGCCAAGGAAACACGCCGCAAUCGAUUCCUGAUCACUGAUACGUUUCCUCCGGCUCGGCGCACCGACGCACCGGCGCGCGCGAUUAUCUUACCGGACUUCCCGGCCGCGCUCAGAUUUUCUUCGCUCGUCGAUAGAGAUCGCAAUCUGGCCUGUUGUUUCGCGUGCUCGAGGGUGGCCCGACCGAUCCCGGCGAGCAGCAGAUGCGCAGCCCUCGAAUCGGUCGAUGCACCGACGAACGUGAUCGAUACAUGAUACUUUACUGCGAGUCAAAUCAUCUCUCGCCACUUGGACACGCCUGCACGCGUGCAUCAUGCUCGCCACUCUUCCGCAGACUCUUUCUCUCUCUCUCUCUCUCUCUCUCUUUUACGCGCGCGAGAAUACGCUCGAGCUUCCCAGAAGAUCGCGGUGAUUCUUAUUGACUCAUCCUCUAGAGACUGCACAAAUAGGUAAAAGACGAAAUUGUAAGAAAUUGGCAGAGUUGAAGAAUAUUUGCAUGAUAAAAUAUUGCGGUCCAGUCAUCGAGUUCGUCAAUUUUGUCUCGUUGCUGCGGCGCGCUUCGAGAUUAGAGGAAGAGCACCUGUACAAUCGCGGUCGUCGAACGAGACGAGAUUUUUGUCGAGCUCUCCUAACAGACGUUUGUCCGGCCUCUCGACGUCAUUUACACCGCAACGCGUUCUUUGCCCGAAUGAAACGAAACGUUUCUAAAAAGCUUUGAAACGGUUCGAAAAUAGAGGAUCUCAAGGACAACGAAACGAGCAACGGAAAUUGGUAUGCACUCUCGGUCUCGGCGGACAGAAAACUGAUGAAAAGAGGUCGCCGGGGGCCUCGGAAUAUAACCCGGAAGAGGACGGAAAGGAGACAAGGAUCGAGGGAUCGAAGCGAGAGGACGCUAUUUGAGUUCGCCGUCACGUCGAUUAUCUCGGGCGGCGAUCGCGGAGGGUAUCGGGUCUCCUUCGACGAAUCCAAAGAGCAACACCUACGAAACGAACGGUUCGUCGAGGGUGGCUCUACGUUCGUUUAAUGCUAGGUUACACGGGACCCGAGAAAACGACGAGUUACAAAUGUUUCGAAUUCCCAGGAAUCGCAAGAGAUUUUCUGUGCGCGUGGUACGAGGCAUACGCGUAAGCACAGGCCCUGUAACGAUUCAGGGUGAAAACCAAAGGCGACCGUGAUUCGGUCAGGCCUGGGUCGGUUUACCUGAGAGAGGACGGACCUCGAAUUCCUUCGAGAUGAGAGAUAGCGAGGUGUGAUUCACGGGAAAACUUGCGAUAAACGCGAUUUUAUCGGUCGACUAACGCAGACAUAUCUUCGGAGCCGAAAGAUUUCCUUUUCGUUUUGCUUCCGCUGGUUUGUUGAACUUUCGUCAAAAUUUAUGAUACUUCAAAAGCGACCGACAUUUCCUGCUUUAUUAGAACGACGACUAGACCCAAAAUGUAUUUAGACUUAUUAUUUUUUAUUAUUAUUUUAUUAUAUAUUAUUGUUCUUAUUAUAUAUUAUAUUUAGACUCGCCAUUCCAAUAAUAUCGUAUGCUUGGAUUAAGAUAUUGAUUCGAUCGUUACUAGAUCGCGGAUUUUAUGCAUAAAAUUUGAUGGGAAGUGGCCGAGUACGGUGUUGUAAAGUUAUUAGAAGAGUUCAAAGUCGCUGUUACAUCAUUUUCAACUUCUUACAAUUAUUAAAAGAGGAAAGGCGUGUAA
Non-coding RNA from Megalopta genalis, 2467 nucleotides. The record is from RefSeq and is a predicted model, not a curated record. NCBI's taxonomy places the organism in Eukaryota, Metazoa, Arthropoda, Insecta, Hymenoptera, Halictidae.